RNAcentral lists this ribosomal RNA (439 nucleotides) under uncultured bacterium. RNAcentral describes it as "partial 16S ribosomal RNA". It matches the Rfam family "Bacterial small subunit ribosomal RNA", at positions 338 to 795 of the family's 1533-position model. The record is from RNAcentral.
CCUACGGGAGACAGCAGUGGGGGAUAUUGCACAAUGGAGGAAACUCUGAUGCAGCGACGCCGCGUGAGGGAAGACGGUCUUCGGAUUGUAAACCUCUGUCUGUGGGGAAGAAAAUGACGGUACCCAAAGAGGAAGCCGCGGCUAACUACGUGCCAGCAGCCGCGGUAAUACGUAGGGAGCGAGCGUUGUCCGGAAUUACGGGGUGUAAAGGGAGCGUAGGCGGGAGGGAAAGUUGAAUGUUAAAUUUACCGGCUUAACUGGUAAGUGCGUUGAAAACUUCUUGUCUUGAGUGAAGGAGAGGCAGGCGGAAUGCGUAGUGUAGCGGUGAAAUGCGUAGAUAUUACGCAGAACACCAGUGGCGAAGGCAGCAUGCUGGGUUUUAACUGACGCUGAGGCUCGAAAGCGUGGGGAGCGAACAGGAUUAGAUACCCUUGUAGUC